RNAcentral lists this signal recognition particle RNA (300 nucleotides) under Aotus nancymaae (Ma's night monkey). RNAcentral describes it as "Metazoan signal recognition particle RNA (ENSANAG00000001071.1)". It matches the Rfam family "Metazoan signal recognition particle RNA". Rfam says of the family: The signal recognition particle (SRP) is a universally conserved ribonucleoprotein. It is involved in the co-translational targeting of proteins to membranes. Lineage: Eukaryota; Metazoa; Chordata; Mammalia; Primates; Aotidae. The record is from RNAcentral.
ACUGGGCACAGUGGUGCGUGCCUGUAGUCCCAGCUACACAGAAGGCUGUGGGUGGGAGGAUCGCUUGAGCCCAGGAGUUCUGGGCUGUAGUGGGCUAUGCCGAUCGGGUGUCCGCACUAAGUUCAGCAUCAAUAUGGUGACCUCCCAGAAGCGGGGGACCACCAGGUUGCCUAGGGAGGGGUGAACCGGCCCAGGUCAGAAACGGAGAAGGUGAAAACUCCCAUGCUGAUCAGUAGUGGGAUCUCGCCUGUGAAUAGCCACUGCACUCCAGCCUGGGCAAUAUAGCGAGACCCCAUCUCU